AUGUUCUCAUUUAUUCUUCUAGGAAGUGAGGUUGGUGUAGGAGCUGUCACCCAUAUCCCCGACCAUGGAGCACCAGGAGACAUCAAGACAUCACUGACUAGUGGCCUCCUGAUUCGUGAAUCCAUUGUAUAUUCUAUAGGAUUCCCUACUGAGACUUCAGGGACACUGAAGAAAGUGAGUGGAUCUCACCAGGGAAGAGAACCAACAGACUCCAUCAGUAUCCCUAUGACUGGCUUUAAGGGGAGAGAUUCCAUUACAGACACUGAAAGAGACAUAUGUGUCAUGGAGACAACUCUAAGAGCCACAGCCACUCAAGCCCCACUUCUCACUGUGCACACUGGAGCAGGUGACCUCAUCCCUGGGAUGCACAGGAGAACUGUGUCCUCUCCCACUUCACCCUCAGCUCCAAGUGAGAUAUCCUCUGGAGUCACCAUUGCCAUUGCAAGGCCCUCACUCUCCAUGACUCCAGUAGAACCCACAGCUAGCCCUGGCUCCAGUGGUCCCUUGAACAUCAGCCUAUCUGGGACAAUUUUUUCUACACCCCUUGCAGACACACCUAUAGCUGAAAUAGCUCCUGGAGAGAGUUCCAGCACCCCCCCUUCUUUAUGGUCCACUUCAGUUGAUUCUUUCAAUACUGUUGGCUCAGCCCCAGGAACUGAAAUCACCUCCAUUGUGCCUCUAUAUUCACUUCCAACAGCCUCAAGUGCCACAGAAACCACACCAAAUCCUGAUUUGUCAGUGAGACCUACCACACUAGAGCCAGGCUUAGCUGCCCUAACUUCCACUGCUCCCACCAUCAUUCCAACACUGUCUGAGGAAGACAUAAACACCUCACUGGUGUCUAUAGAAGGACCAACAGAAGAUAAAACAGCGUCCAGCACCUUCCCAGCAAAUGCAGACACCCCUGGUAUCACUCACAGGGAGCACUUCUUCACAGGUCCUGGAGUAACUUUUCAACCUGACAUGGCCUCUACUUCUCUGCCCAAUUUAUGUGAAGGGAUCAGUUAUUCCAGAAAUAUCCCCUCACCCUCUUUAGGGAGUAGGAAAAGCACUGCCAUGAUUGGAGUCUGGACAAGCCCAGCUGAACCUCACACUGUGGAGCCUAAGAAGCCCACCCCUGCUGAGGGUUCCCUCUGUAUUGGACCAGUGACUGAAUUUAGCAGCAGGGAAAGUGGACAUUUAAAGAAUAGCUUGGCCUCUGCUGUGACCUUUAACUCUCCACUACCAAGCCCCAUUGCUUCUAGCAGCAUGGAUGUAGACUCAGAAAUGGCGUUAGGAUUAUCUCUCUGGACAGACAGCUCCUCAUCACAAGUAGAAGUCAGUUUUCCUGAUCUGGUUUCCACCACAGGAGAUGGACCCUCCCUGGGAACAGAACCUCACACUCCUAUCCACGAAUCUCUGAGCCCAUGGCCAGGCUCCUUUCCUGCCUUAAGUACUCCCACAGCCUGCACAAGAACAGCUUCCCUUGAGGCUGCUACUUCAUUGGAGGACCCAGGGCCAGCCGGCCUGACUCCAGAGACUGAGAGAAACCCACAGGCAACACCAACUCCAGCUAUCACCCUGCCUCCAGCCAGCACACAGGAAGUUUGCACAACAGCAUCUCCCAGUCCUCCUGACACAACCACAGAGGGCAACAGUGUCAAGGCAGGGACAACCUCUGUUUCUGAUCAAGUGCCUUCCACUUCCAGCCUCUUCCCAAGUAGUGAUGCUGGUGUGGUGCCAGCCACACAUGCCCAAGGCCAUGAAGCACCAGGAAGCACAGGAGCACUGAUGAGGAGCCCCCUGACAUCUAUGUGUUCUAUUAUGCCCACAGGUAAGUAGGUAUCUCAUCUCUGUCUCUGUGUUGGAGGUUUAUCCUUUUUAGGGCCUUGUUUCCCAGUCUUACAGAGGAAACAUGAAAUUAUUUUAGAGAUCAAUCCUCAAGAGCUCUUCUGAACCUCUGAUUCCUUUCUAUGUACAGCCUGGAGAAGAGGAGUUUUAGAGGUAGGAGUGAGGUUCCCACUGCUAAGGUCUUUUAUAUAAUCAACCAUAGGUAUAAAGUUGGAAGGAAACAUUGAAGUAUCAGGUAUUAUGGAUAGCCUCUCAUUUUACAGAUAUGGAUACUGAGGCUUAGAGAAGUAAAGUAAUUAGCUCAGGGUGAUUGGAUAGGACUAGAAGGGACCCUCAAUGGCCACCUAGCUGGACCCCAUCAUUUUACAUAUGGGAAAACUGCAGAGAAGUCAAGUGACAUAUGCCCUAUGACACAAAAUUAGAAAGCAUCAGAGGUGAGAUCUGAACCCUGGACUCCAUUAUGCUGUAUAUCAAGGUCAAGAGAAGAGGUCAGCCCUCACACCUCACAUUGAAUGGCCAAGGCUCUUUCUACUUUGGGGAAGGUUCCUUUUAUGAACUCUCCAAGGGUAGAGAAUUUGUUUUUAAAUUUUUAUUUACAUCUUCCAUAUUUAGGAUAUGGCUGAACACAUAAUAAACACUUAAUUAAUGGCA
This 2481-nucleotide long non-coding RNA is filed under the name Monodelphis domestica (gray short-tailed opossum). RNAcentral's name for it is "lncRNA (ENSMODG00000028738.2)". Lineage: Eukaryota; Metazoa; Chordata; Mammalia; Didelphimorphia; Didelphidae. The record is from RNAcentral.